Molecule: ribosomal RNA, 371 nt
Filed under: uncultured organism
Description: partial 16S ribosomal RNA
Rfam family: Bacterial small subunit ribosomal RNA
Source: RNAcentral
GUAGGUGGCAAGCGUUGUCCGGAAUUAUUGGGCGUAAAGCGCGCGCAGGCGGUUCUUUAAGUCUGAUGUGAAAGCCCACGGCUCAACCGUGGAGGGUCAUUGGAAACUGGAGAACUUGAGUACAGAAGAGGAAAGCGGAAUUCCACGUGUAGCGGUGAAAUGCGUAGAGAUGUGGAGGAACACCAGUGGCGAAGGCGGCUUUCUGGUCUGUAACUGACGCUGAGGCGCGAAAGCGUGGGGAGCAAACAGGAUAGAUACCCUGGUAGUCCACGCCGUAAACGAUGAGUGCUAAGUGUUAGGGGGGUUUCCGCCCCCCUUAGUGCUGCAGCUAACGCAUUAAGCACUCCGCCUGGGAUACGGCCGCAAGGCUG